ACAAAGCGAUUUCGGCCCGACCCGGGAAUCGAACCCGAGACCUCGAGCACAGCAGCCGCGCUUGCGACCACUAGACGAACGAGGCAGUCAGAUUCAGGAAAGAAGACAAGAUGUUUGUAAGAAAGACAUGGAAAUCUGCGAACUAAAAGAGGAAGAUGUCCAGGAUAGAGCGAAGUGGAAGAAGAAGAUACGGAAAGCGGACACCGUCACAAGGCGGGAUAAACGCUAAGAAGAAGAAGUUCAGUACUUUCAGAGCCUAAUUCUUUUACUCUUUAUUUUAAUGGUAUAGAAGUAAAGAUUUCUAAAAAGGAA
Long non-coding RNA from Helicoverpa zea (corn earworm), 312 nucleotides. RefSeq lists it as uncharacterized. The record is from RefSeq and is a predicted model, not a curated record. Lineage: Eukaryota; Metazoa; Arthropoda; Insecta; Lepidoptera; Noctuidae. The transcript has 2 exons.